Molecule: ribosomal RNA, 503 nt
Filed under: uncultured bacterium
Lineage: Bacteria
Description: partial 16S ribosomal RNA
Rfam family: Bacterial small subunit ribosomal RNA
Source: RNAcentral
AUUGAACGCUGGCGGCAGGCUUAAAACAUGCAAGUCGAGCGGGGUGAUGGUGCUUGCACUAUCACUUAGAGGCGGACGGGUGAGUAAUGCUUAGGAAUCUGCCUGUUAGUGGGGGACAACAUCUCGAUAGGGAUGCUAAUACCGCAUACGUCCUACGCGAGAAAGCAGGGGCUCACUUGUUCCCUUGCGCUAAUAGAUGAGCCUAAGUCGGAUUAGCUAGUUGGUGGGGUAAAGGCCUACCAAGGCGACGAUCUGUAGCGGGUCUGAGAGGAUGAUCCGCCACACUGGGACUGAGACACGGCCCAGACUCCUACGGGAGGCAGCAGUGGGGAAUAUUGGACAAUGGGGGGAACCCUGAUCCAGCCAUGCCGCGUGUGUGAAGAAGGCCUUAUGGUUGUAAAGCACUUUAAGCGAGGAGGAGGCUCUUUUGGUUAAUACCCAAGAUGAGUGGACGUUACUCGCAGAAUAAGCACCGGCUAACUCUGUGCCAGCCGCCGCGGUAA